RNAcentral lists this ribosomal RNA (596 nucleotides) under uncultured Actinomycetes bacterium. RNAcentral describes it as "bacterial SSU rRNA". It matches the Rfam family "Bacterial small subunit ribosomal RNA", at positions 36 to 643 of the family's 1533-position model. Lineage: Bacteria; Bacillati; Actinomycetota; Actinomycetes. The record is from RNAcentral.
CCCGUGGCGGGUGCUUACACCUGCAGUCAAACGAUGAAGCUGGAGCUUGCUCCGGUGGAUUAGUGGCGAACGGGUGAGUAACACGUGAGAAAUCUGCCCUUGACUCUGGGAUAACUGCGGGAAACUGUAGCUAAUACCGGAUACUUUCCCUGGUGGGCAUCCACUGGGGAAGAAAGAAUUUCGGUCAAGGAUGAUCUCGCGGCCUAUCAGCUAGUUGGUGAGGUAACGGCUCACCAAGGCGACGACGGGUAGCCGGCCUGAGAGGGUGACCGGCCACACUGGGACUGAGACACGGCCCAGACUCCUACGGGAGGCAGCAGUGGGGAAUAUUGCACAAUGGGCGCAAGCCUGAUGCAGCAACGCCGCGUGAGGGAUGACGGCCUUCGGGUUGUAAACCUCUUUUAGCAGGGAAGAAGCGAAAGUGACGGUACCUGCAGAAAAAGCACCGGCUAACUACGUGCCAGCAGCCGCGGUAAUACGUAGGGUGCAAGCGUUGUCCGGAAUUAUUGGGCGUAAAGAGCUCGUAGGCGGUUUGUCACGUCUGCUGUGAAGAUCCAAGGCUCAACCUUGGACUUGCAGUGGGUACGGGCAGGCUA